RNAcentral lists this ribosomal RNA (468 nucleotides) under uncultured bacterium. RNAcentral describes it as "partial 16S ribosomal RNA". It matches the Rfam family "Bacterial small subunit ribosomal RNA", at positions 28 to 507 of the family's 1533-position model. The record is from RNAcentral.
GACGAACGCUGGCGGCGUGCUUAACACAUGCAAGUCGAACGGAAAGGCCCGGCUUUUGUGGGGCGCUCGAGUGGCGAACGGGUGAGUAUCACGUGAGUAACCUGCCCCUGUCAUUGGGAUAACUUCAGGAAACUGGGGCUAUUACCCGAUAGGAGCUCCUGCUGCAUGGUGGGGGUUGGAAAGUUUCGGCGGUUGGGGAUGGACUCGCAGCUUAUCAGCUUGUUGGUGGGGUAGUGGCUUACCAAGGCUUAGACGGGUAGCCGGCCUGAGAGGGUGACCGGCCACAAUGGGACUGAGAUACGGCCCAGACUCCUACGGGGCGCAGCAGUGGGGAAUAUUACACAAUAGGCGGAAGCCUGAUGCAGCGGCGCCGGGUGCGGGAUGACGGCCUUCGGGUUAUGAACCGAUUUCGCCUGUGAGGAGGCGUGAGUGACGGUAAUGGAUCAAAAAGCACCGGCUAACUACGUG